AUUAAAAACCAAUGCCCUUCGGGGCUCUCUGGUGAUUCAUAAUAACUUCUCGAAUCGCACGGCCUUGCGCCGGCGAUGGUUCAUUCAAAUUUCUGCCCUAUCAACUUUCGACGGCUGGGUCUUGGCCAGCCGUGGUGACAACGGGUAACGGAGGGUUAGGGCUCGACCCCGGAGAAGGAGCCUGAGAAACGGCUACUACAUCCAAGGAAGGCAGCAGGCGCGCAAAUUACCCAAUCCCGACACGGGGAGGUAGUGACAAUAAAUACUGAUACAGGGCUCUUUCGGGUCUUGUAAUUGGAAUGAGUACAAUUUAAAUCCCUUAACGAGGAACAAUUGGAGGGCAAGUCUGGUGCCAGCAGCCGCGGUAAUUCCAGCUCCAAUAGCGUAUAUUAAAGUUGUUGAGGUUAAAAAGCUCGUAGUUGAACCUUGGGCCUAGCCGGCCGGUCCGCCUCACCGCGUGCACUGGCUCGGCUGGGUCUUUCCUUCUGGAGAACCGCAUGCCCUUCACUGG
This 511-nucleotide ribosomal RNA is filed under the name uncultured fungus. RNAcentral describes it as "SSU rRNA". It matches the Rfam family "Eukaryotic small subunit ribosomal RNA", at positions 214 to 725 of the family's 1831-position model. Lineage: Eukaryota; Fungi. The record is from RNAcentral.